Long non-coding RNA from Phragmites australis (common reed), 1124 nucleotides. RefSeq lists it as uncharacterized. The record is from RefSeq and is a predicted model, not a curated record. Lineage: Eukaryota; Viridiplantae; Streptophyta; Magnoliopsida; Poales; Poaceae. The transcript has 4 exons.
GUAAUUCUGGAAAGGCUCAGAGCCCAUAAGUUGUAUGCAAAGUUCAGUAAAUGUGAAUUUUGACUAGAAGAGGUUGCCUUCCUUGGUCAUAUCUUAACAGCAGUAGGCGUAGCAGUGGAUCCUGAGAAGGUUGAAACAGUCGCCAACUGGUCACAACCGACCAAUGUGUCCGAGAUCAGAAGCUUUCUUGGAUUGGCAGGUUAUUACUGUCGAUUCAUUGAAGGGUUCUUCAAGAUGGAAAGAUUAAUGACCGAGCUACUCAAGAAAGAAAAGAAGUUUGAAUGGACAAAGUCAUGUGAGAAGAGUUUUCAGAGUUAAACAAUAAGCUGAUAAUUGUCCCAAUACUUGUCUUACCUAACAUUCACCAGGACUUUGUGGUGUAUUGUGAUGCAUCAAGACGAGAUCUUGGUUGUGUUUUGAUGCAAGAUGGCAGGGUAGUAUAACUAAUGUUAACAUGAUUUUCUCAUUCAGUUAAUUGCAAUCAUUUGGUAUUGUAGUUCAAAGUUUUCUACCAUUGUUGGUUGCCCAUGCCCGUGCAUUUUGACAACAAAGAUUAUUUUCUAUAUUCUACAUGUUUAUAUUAAGUAUCUUCCAAAAAGUUAGGCUCCUUCGCUAGCUAUGUUCUUCUAAAUUUAAUCAAUCCAAUGCAUUGCAUGUUAAACACUUAUUACUUCUGCGAAUGACAGCUACAUGAAAGAAGGAAUGCGCAUAAGUGCCAAAGCAAUCCUUUUGGUGCAAGGGCACAACCACCCCCACAUACUGCUCCUGCAAAUUGGAAAUACAAUUGGCAAGCUUCCUGGUGACCAGUUGAAGCUCAGAGAAAAUGAUGAGUUUUGAAAUUGAAGGUCUGAAGAGAAAGUUGUGCAGCAAACUUGCAGUGAACUCACCUUCCUUUUCACCUAACUGGCAGGCACCUCCCCACUACGUGGUCUACUUUGAAGACCUUUUUGGGUGCAAAACGAGAGUCGAACUCCCGCUGGCUCCCUCCACCCAUAGAGUUUUGCCACUGAGCUACAAGCCCGUCCGCACUCAAAUUUUAUUAUGUGUUCAUCAAUAUGAAGCAAUGUAGUUUCCUUUUAAAUGGGUAGUUCUUCCAAUUGACAAAAUGGUGUUAAUGCCCCCCC